AUUGAACGCUGGCGGCAUGCCUUACACAUGCAAGUCGAACGGCAGCACGGGGGCAACCCUGGUGGCGAGUGGCGAACGGGUGAGUAAAGCAUCGGAACGUGCCCGGUAGUGCGGGAUAGCUCGGCGAAAGCCGGAUUAAUACCGCAUGAGAUCCGAGGAUGAAAGCGGGGGACCGUAAGGCCUCGCGCUACUGGAGCGGCCGAUAUCAGAUUAGGUAGUUGGUAGGGUAAGAGCCUACCAAGCCAACGAUCUGUAGCUGGUCUGAGAGGACGACCAGCCACACUGGGACUGAGACACGGCCCAGACUCCUACGGGAGGCAGCAGUGGGGAAUUUUGGACAAUGGACGCAAGUCUGAUCCAGCAAUACCGCGUGCAGGACGAAGGCCUUCGGUUGUAAACUGCUUUGUACGGAACGAAAGCCUUCUUCUAAUACAGGGAGGUCAUGACGGUACCGUAAGAAUAAGCACCGGCUAACUACGUGCCAGCAGCCGCGGUAAAC
RNAcentral lists this ribosomal RNA (499 nucleotides) under uncultured bacterium. RNAcentral describes it as "bacterial SSU rRNA". It matches the Rfam family "Bacterial small subunit ribosomal RNA", at positions 29 to 525 of the family's 1533-position model. The record is from RNAcentral.